GACAAAUUCUUGCACAAUUUAAUGUAGAUCGUUGGUAUAUAUUUCCUCAGAUAGAACAUGUAGAAUUUGUAUGCCCCCACUGUAGCAAAGGGGGCAUUAAGUUGUACCCUUGUCUGUAAGUACGUCCGUUCCAGAGUUAUACCCUUAUACAAAUGGAAAAAAAAUGCUGACUUUUUUGUUUCCGUUCUCUAACUUAAGUUUGCCACAACCAAAUGUUUUGAAACUUAUACACAAUGCUUAUUUCCAUAAAAUUCAGAACAGUUAGAAUGUUAUUGGUGUAACAGGUACUGUCAAUAAGUUAUGCCCCUUUAAAAAUGGAAAAAUGCUGAAUUUUCCGUUUCCGUUCUCUUUUUUUCGUCUGUCUGACAUAGUUCAUCUUACCCUGACCUCAUUUUCUUAGAACAUUGAUAAUGUUAAGUUAAUAUGAUACUUGUAUUAAAAUCUUUACAUAACACUUACAGAGUUUCAAAAGUAAUUCAAUUAUAAAUAAAACCAACCAGACAUUUCAGGGUGAGUCUUCUUGUUUAGCAGAUCUUAGUCUAGGGUUAAAGUUUUUAAAGCAUCAAUCUGUUUCAAAAACCAACAAUGAGUUGCAUUAAAUUGUUACUGUAACUUCUUUAUAGCCAUUUUGAAAGAGAAAGUAUCCUGAGCUAUUUUUUUUUUAAAUGUUCAUUAAGAUUUGUUUUAUAGAUAAUCAUGUUAUGCUCAUUGUUGAAGGAUAUACGGUGAUCUGUGGUUGUUUAUUUCUAUGUCUUUGCUCUCUCUGGUUGAGAGUUAAUUGUCUCAUUGACAAUUACAACACAUCCUCUUAUCUUUAUACAUAGACUUACUAGUAAUUAAGUUUUGGAAUUCAACUUUAUUCUUUUUCACUGACAGCAUCAGUCUUAGACACGACAACGGGUUAUGCGUAUUACCAUUUUUUUUUUGAAACUUCUGAGAAAUCUUACAUAUAAGAUUGAAGGGAGGGGUACAUUUGCUGCCCUCAACUUUAGAAGUUGUGUUAUGCUUAAAUUCUUAAAAUACUUAGUUCACAAGUAAACACAAUGAGAUACCACAUUUCUUUCAACAAAUUUUAUAAUUUUGAAAAAAAAAAAAAAAAAAAUCGAAAAAAAGGGGGGGUGCACCAUACCCAGAGUGAUGAUUUUUCAUUUUGUACAAGUAUAUCUUCAUUUAUCAUAUAUUCUCGUUUAAAAUUAACAAAUGUG
This 1205-nucleotide long non-coding RNA is filed under the name Mytilus galloprovincialis (Mediterranean mussel). Lineage: Eukaryota; Metazoa; Mollusca; Bivalvia; Mytilida; Mytilidae. The record is from RNAcentral.